RNAcentral lists this ribosomal RNA (164 nucleotides) under Dubautia latifolia. RNAcentral's name for it is "5.8S ribosomal RNA". It matches the Rfam family "5.8S ribosomal RNA". Rfam says of the family: 5.8S ribosomal RNA (5.8S rRNA) is a component of the large subunit of the eukaryotic ribosome. It is transcribed by RNA polymerase I as part of the 45S precursor that also contains 18S and 28S rRNA. Functionally, it is thought that 5.8S rRNA may be involved in ribosome translocation. Lineage: Eukaryota; Viridiplantae; Streptophyta; Magnoliopsida; Asterales; Asteraceae. The record is from RNAcentral.
UAAACGACUCUCGGCAAUGGAUAUCUCGGCUCAUGCAUCGAUGAAGAACGUAGCAAAAUGCGAUACUUGGUGUGAAUUGCAGAAUCCCGUGAACCAUCGAGUUUUUGAACGCAAGUUGCGCCCGAAGCCUUCUGGUUGAGGGCACGUCUGCCUGGGCGUCAUGC